Molecule: ribosomal RNA, 461 nt
Filed under: uncultured bacterium
Lineage: Bacteria
Description: partial 16S ribosomal RNA
Rfam family: Bacterial small subunit ribosomal RNA
Source: RNAcentral
ACGAACGCUGGCGGCGUGCUUAACACAUGCCAGUCGAGCGGAAAGGCCCUUCGGGGUCCUCGAGCGGCGAACGGGUGAGUAACACGUGAGUAACCUGCCCCAGACUUUGGGAUAACCCUCGGAAACGGGGGCUAAUACCGGAUACGACACAGCUUCGCAUGGGGUCUGUGUGGAAAGUUUUUCGGUUUGGGAUGGGCUCGCGGCCUAUCAGCUUGUUGGUGGGGUGAUGGCCUACCAAGGCGACGACGGGUAGCCGGCCUGAGAGGGCGACCGGCCACACUGGGACUGAGACACGGCCCAGACUCCUACGGGAGGCAGCAGUGGGGAAUAUUGCACAAUGGGCGGAAGCCUGAUGCAGCGACGCCGCGUGAGGGAUGACGGCCUUCGGGUUGUAAACCUCUUUCAGCAGGGACGAAGCGUAAGUGACGGUACCUGCAGAAGAAGCGCCGGCCAACUACGUG